AUGAACGUUGGCGGCGUGUCUAAGGCAUGCAAGUCGAGCGACGUGUUCCCGCAAGGGAAUUACGAGCGGCAGACGGGUGCGAAACACAUUGGUAACUCACCUUCGAGACGGGCACAGCUCCCCGAAAGGGGAAUUAAUACCCGAUGGUCAUACUGGCGUAAAGCCUGUAUGUAAAUCCUCCGGGGCUCGAAGAGAGGCCUAUGGCCUAUCAGCUAGUUGGUAAGGUAAUGGCUUACCAAGGCUAUGACGGGUAGGGGACGUGAGAGCGUGACCCCCCUCACUGGGACUGAGACACUGCCCAGACUCCUACGGGAGGCUGCAGUCAAGAAUAUUCCACAAUGGACGAAAGUCUGAUGGAGCGACGCCGCGUGCAGGAUGAAGCCCUUCGGGGUGUAAACUGCUUUUAUAUGGGAAGAAUUUGUGACGGUACCAUAUGAAUAAGAGGUUGCUAACUCUGU
Molecule: ribosomal RNA, 458 nt
Filed under: uncultured bacterium
Lineage: Bacteria
Description: bacterial SSU rRNA
Rfam family: Bacterial small subunit ribosomal RNA
Source: RNAcentral